RNAcentral lists this ribosomal RNA (254 nucleotides) under uncultured bacterium. RNAcentral's name for it is "partial 16S ribosomal RNA". It matches the Rfam family "Bacterial small subunit ribosomal RNA", at positions 524 to 776 of the family's 1533-position model. The record is from RNAcentral.
UACGUAGGGGGCUAGCGUUGUCCGGAAUCAUUGGGCGUAAAGAGCGCGUAGGCGGCCAGAUAAGUCCGGUGUGAAAGUCACAGGCUCAACCUGUGAAUGCCGCUGGAAACUGUCUGGCUAGAGUCCGGGAGGGGCGAGUGGAAUUCCUGGUGUAGCGGUGAAAUGCGCAGAUAGUCAGGAGGAACACCGAUGGCGAAGGCAGGUCUCUGGGCCACUACUGACGCUGAGAAGCGAAAGCAUGGGGAGCGAACAGG